This 1980-nucleotide ribosomal RNA is filed under the name Triticum aestivum (bread wheat). RNAcentral's name for it is "partial small subunit ribosomal RNA". Lineage: Eukaryota; Viridiplantae; Streptophyta; Magnoliopsida; Poales; Poaceae. The record is from RNAcentral.
AUGGCUUCUGGGAACGACUGGUUGGGGUUCUCGCUCUCCGGCCAAGAGAACCCACAGCCGCAUCAGGAUAGCUCGCCGCCCGCCGACAUCGACAUCGCUGGCGCCAGUGGCUUCUAUGGCCUACCCACGCAGCCAGCUCCCGACGCUCAACUCGGUGUGCCAGGUCAUCAUCAGCCUUCAUACGGGAUCACGGAGGCCUUCAAUAGGGGAGCUCAUGAAAUCCACGAUUGGAACAUGAGGGGUGAUCUGGACUACAACGGCGGUGCGUCCGAGCUCUCGAUGCUCGUCGGGUCGAGCGCAGUUGGCGGCAAGAGGGCGGCCAUGGAGGCCGAGACCGAGCCCAAGCUUGAGGACUUCCUCGUUGGCAACUCGUUCGUCUCCGAGCAAGAUCAGGCCGGUGGCUUCUUGUUCUCCGGUGUCCCGAUGGCGACCAGCACCAACAGCAACAGCAGGAGCAACACCAUGGAGCUCUCUAUGAUCAAGAGCUGGCUCCGUGACAACCAGGUACCCCAAGCGCCGCACCCGCAGUCGCAGACCGGGGCGCCCGCGCAGCAGCCGCAACCCCACGAGGAGAUGGGCACCGACGCGAGCAGCUUCGAUCCGCUGGGGAGAAACGGCGCGUUGGUGGUGGCGGGGAGCUCGCAGAGCCUGGCGCUCUCGAUGAGCACGGGCUCAGGAUCGCACUUGCCGAUGGCUGUGCUCGGCGGCAGUCCCAGUGGGGGAGUCUCAGAGAGCACCUCCUCGGAGAACAAGCGGGCCAGCGGCGCCAUGGAUUCGCCGGGCGGUGCGGUAGAAGCUGUCGCGAGGAAGUCCAUCGACACAUUCGGGCAAAGGACGUCGAUAUAUCGAGGUGUAACAAGACAUAGAUGGACAGGGCGUUAUGAGGCUCAUCUCUGGGACAAUAGCUGCAGAAGAGAAGGGCAGAGUCGCAAGGGUAGGCAAGUUUAUCUGGGUGGCUAUGACAAGGAGGACAAGGCAGCAAGGGCUUAUGAUUUGGCAGCACUCAAGUAUUGGGGUACAACAACAACAACAAAUUUCCCAAUUAAUACCUACGAAAAAGAGGUGGAUGAAAUGAAACAUAUGACUAGGCAGGAAUACAUCGCAUACCUAAGAAGGAAUAGCAGCGGAUUUUCCCGUGGUGCGUCAAAAUAUCGUGGUGUAACUAGGCACCAUCAGCAUGGGAGAUGGCAAGCAAGAAUUGGGAGGGUUGCAGGAAACAAGGAUCUCUACUUAGGCACCUUCAGCACCGAGGAGGAGGCGGCGGAGGCCUACGACAUCGCGGCGAUCAAGUUCCGUGGGCUGAACGCCGUCACCAACUUCGACAUGAGUCGCUACGACGUCAAGACCAUCCUCGAGAGCAGCACCCUGCCGGUGGGUGGCGCGGCGAGGCGCCCCAAGGAGGUCGCUGAUCAUCCAGAGGCUGGCGCCACGAUCUGGCGGGCCGGCAUGGACGGCGGCGUCAUCUCCCAGCUGACCGACGUCGGGAUGGGCACGUACGCGUCGUACCACCACGGCUGGCCAACCAUCGCAUUCCAGCAGCCCUCGCCGCUGUCGGUGCACUACCCAUACGUCGCCCAGCCGUCUCGCGGGUGGUGCAAGCCCGAGCAGGACGCCAGCGUCGCCACGCAAAGCCUGCAGGACCUCCAGCAGCUGCACCUCGGGACCGCCGCUCACAACUAUUUCCAGGCAUCGUCGAGCUCCACGGUCUACAACGGCGGCGGGUACCAGCAAGGCACCAGUGGCAACGCCUUCUUGAUGCCGGCUAGCACCGUGGUGGAUGAACAGGGGCACAGCAGCACUGCCACCAACCAGGGAAGCACAUGCAGCUACGGGGACGAAGAGGGGAAGCUCAAUCUCGGGUACGAUGCCAUGGCGAUGGCGAGCACCGGCGCCGACCCAUACGCGGCGGCGCCAACUGUGAGCAUUGCGAGGGCGAACGGGUACUCCAACAACUGGAGCUCGCCGUUCAAUGGCAUGUGA